GCCAUUAACAAAGAUGGCGCCCCGCUUCCUCUUUCCUAAGCCCUAGCCCGGCCGGUCCCAGCACCACAGGGCCGCUGCUCCCCGCUCCGCGGUCUCACGUUGCCUCAACCCCAGGCACUCCCGCAUGGCCGAGACUGCCGGCUCCCCGCGCCGUUCCACCGCGGACAGGAGCGGAGGGAGCGGUGCGGGAGCGGCGAGAGCCCGCUGGCGGCUGCUCGGACAGGUUCUGAAGAAAAAGCACUUGAAGGAUGUGCAUCUCCAACAAGUGUCUGUGAGAAGAUUCACGUCGUUCAAUCUCUUUUCAGUAGAUGGCCAGGAUACUGAAGAGGAAACUGGGAUCUGGGUCCAGUAUAAAAGCAUCUUUUAUCCUGAGUAUAGUGUGUCCAUAAGAUUGCACAAUGGACUCUUAAAUGUUAAAGAUGUUCUUACAAGCUUUGACAACACAGGAAAUGUCUGUCUCUGGCCAUCUGAAGAAGUACUGGCUUACUACUGCCUAAAGCACAGGGAAAUAUUCAGGGACCUUGCUGUGUGUGAGCUAGGGGGUGGCAUGACAUGCUUGGCUGGGCUCAUGGUUGCUAUUUCUGCAGAUGUCAAAGAAGUUCUGUUAACUGAUGGAAAUGAAAAGGCCAUCAAAAAUGUAAGUGACAUCAUCACAAGAAACGUAAUUGCAGGAGUAUUUAAGACUCAGAAAGUGUCAAGCUGCAUUUUACGAUGGGAUAAUGAGACAGAUGUCUCUCAACUGGAAGGACAUUUUGACAUUGUUAUGUGUGCUGACUGCCUGUUUCUGGACCGGUACAGAGCUAGCCUUGUUGAUGCAAUAAAGAGAUUACUCCAACCCAGUGGAAAAGCAAUGGUAUUUGCUCCGCACAGAGGGAAUACUUUAAACCAGUUUUGCAAUCUAGCUGAAAAAGCUGGUUUCUCUAUCCAAAGACAUGAAAAUUAUGAUGAACACAUUUCGAACUUCCACUCCAAGGCAAAGGAAGACCUCAUCGCCUUUUAAAAUCUAUAUCCAGGGUACAGCUACAGAACUGUGUAACACUGAGAAUAUUAAUUGAAAAAGGAAGAAAAAGAUACAUAUGAUGAAAACCUCCACUACCCUCUUCUUCUUGUUUUAACCAAACCCGGAUAGAAGAUGACACUUUUUUGUUGUUAUUUUAAGAUGGACUGCUGAAAAUUAACCCAUGUACCUGGAUAGUCAGGAAAUGGGAGGGUUCUGUUCCCCCCUUUUAUUCUUGAGUCAUCAUCAGAGAAAUAUUUUAAUGUAAGUGCCGAGGAAGAUAUCUGGUUUGUUUCACAGUGUUUAAACAUCAUGACUUUAUUUUGAUAUCAUUUUAGAAUGUAUUUUUCGAAUUAUUUUUCAGCCUAAACACCAUCGGACAUCAAAUGUAUACGUUAACCAAGGUGUGAAAGCUGGCUUCCUUCUCUUUUGUGCCUUUAAACUUGUAUGUAGUUUGUUAACCUCUUUAAAUGUUACUGUGGGGCCACAUUUGAAAAUACAUAAAUAAUACACUUUGUGGUUUUACGUAACUGCCUGUAAAGUGGUAAAUGCAUUCACCUUUAAUUAGUAAGUAAAUGGUUGUCUUAAAAUCUUUAAAAAGUACACCUAUUACAUCCUCAGAUUUUUCUUCCUUUUUUUUUUUUUUUUUUUUUUUUUUUUGAAAUUAAGCUGUUGAUUUUUCUGUCGAUAAUUGAGGUGUCCUCAUUUGCUGUGAUGAAGGCUUUUUUUUUAAUACAGAUAGGGGUGUCCGUGUGUUGUUUUGUUUUUUUUUUUUUUUCCAGCAAGACUUUUCCUCUUCUAGAUGUAUAAGAAAUUAUGCGUCAGACAAAAGCUUCAUAAACUGACCAUUUGUCCUUUGGACACAAUAGCCUGCCCAGCCCCUCUGCUCCUCCUCUCCAAUUAUGUGUGAUUAGUCUCAGUGUGUUGUGUCAAGAAGGGGGAGUGUGCUGAGCGCUUAUUAUCUGUUUAGGUACAAGAAGAGCACAUUUAGGUUCUGACUAUGAAUGGAAAGUGAGCCUUUAUCAGGGCUAAAAUCUAAAUGCUACUAUUCUGAAAAUCGCUUUUAAAAAUGCAUCCUUUUUUGAUAGAUUCUGAGAAAGACUCUAACAACUAAAGGAGUUUGUAACGUAAUCAAACUGCCUCGCUCAAAUUAGUUUGCACUGUGAUGUAUCAUGGCCCAAGAGUAUGAUAAACAUUUGAUAUGACUUUUUGUACUGGGAAAGAAAAAAUCCUACCAAGAGAUGGAAAUGAUUUCUUUUUCCCCUAACAGGUUAAUAGGGCAUUUUAAUCAACUUCUGACAAAAACAAAGCCGGAAUCAUUACAGAAUCCUGUACUCUCUCUUAAGCCAGAACAAUUUUAAAAUGAUGAAAAAGAGAAAGAGAGAGCAUAACUGAAAGAGAGAGGUACUAUCUAGGAAGCAGAGUAGAUGCUGAAAUAUAUUAAAUAAAAGAAUUGCAGUUUGGUAAUAAGCGUUCUUCCAUAUUCAAAUAUGGAUCAAACAAAUUGGGCAGCAUGUGAACCACAAGCUCAUGAAGGUCCUUUUCUCUUCACACUUCUGCUCAAAUUUCUUCACUACCAGUUUGCAUGUCCUUGUAUUCAAUACUUUUUAUGCUCCAUUAGAGCACCUAGAUGGAUCUCAGAAGGCAUAGGUCAAGUCGCAGUUAGAUCAUACAUUUCUUUCUCACAAAAACUUGAAUUGCAAUGCCAAGUGAUGGGCUAACAUCACAAUAACAGCAAUUUAUUCCUCUUUUGAUAAAAAGCAGCCUAUUCUCAGUGUUAGAUAAAGACCAGGGGCAAUGCAAACCAACCAUUUAUACUAGAACUGAGUAGUAUAUCUCCCUUAUAGCUGGUAUGAGUUUCAUAUUCAAACUCUAGUUGGAAGAUACCUGUCUAGCAGGAAAUGAAAAGUAAUUGAGAGUUAUUUAAAAUUGCUGUAAAGCUGGCUUUGGUUUCAUUUUUAUUUUGUUCUGUGUGUCCCACACAGCAAAGUCUUUGUUUUCUCUAGAAAUACAUACAAGGAAAUCUUUAUAAUCAACAAAGGGGUGUAAAAAAUAGUGAAAUAUUACCAUUUGUGGACCUUUUGUUUCUGGGAGGGCUUGAAUGUCUGCUGUAACAAUAAUCUAAUAAAUAUUAUUAGCUGCCAAAAACA
Gallus gallus (chicken) is the source of this 3147-nucleotide RNA transcript. It is a transcript of the gene named calmodulin-lysine N-methyltransferase, with no coding region annotated. The transcript is spliced from 12 exons. NCBI's taxonomy places the organism in Eukaryota, Metazoa, Chordata, Aves, Galliformes, Phasianidae. The record is from RefSeq and is marked validated.